UCAACUACUUCCGGAUUAGAUACAGUCUGUGCGCAGUGAAGUAUAGUGUUUCAGUUUUGAGGUGGCUGAUGAUGGAAUAGUAAAACAAUAUAACCUUGUUUUUCUCCAUGGAUAUUGUGAAGCAAAGCACCAUUAAGUUAAAGAGCAGAAUGGAGGAGCUACGAGAAAGUGCCUAGAAAAGGGGAAUCAUUUUUAUGAGGGAAAAAACGCCCACGCCAAGAGCACCUGCAUACACUGUCCUGCUGUGGAGGAAUGAAGACUCAACUACCCUCUCACCUCUGUGAGACUGCAAGCAAGGGUGAAGAUUAGCCAUCGUAAAAACACAGUAAAGCACCAUGAAGAAAACAGUACAGAGAAAAAUGUUAGGACAUGGGCAAUAGAAAAUACAGUGCUGGAAUAGUAAAGCUACCUGGUGAAUUUGCAUGGUCGUUUGACAAACAUUUAGAUGAGACACAAUCAGUACUACUUUUACAAACUACAGUUUAAAAUGACUUCAAGCCUACAAAAUAUGGAAUCGUUUUUUUUUCUUUUUUCUUACAGUUACUAUAUCCAGAAAAGAAGUGGAAAUGCUUUAAGAAACACAAAGGCAUAAGCAAAACCUUUAAACACUAAGGGCCUUGUUUUCUGACAUUAGUACCAUUUCUGACUUAUUCAAAAUGCUAAUAUCCUUUUCAGCCACCUACAAAGGUCAGUCUGCAUGCUUGAAUUAGUGCUAUUAACACAUUUUCUUAAUGCUUUGAGUACAAUUGGCGCAUUUCCGUGUUCAUUAUAUAAUUUGCGCAAUCUAUGAAGGUGUAGGACACUUAUUAGUACCUUCUCAGUGCAGCGUUAUUAAAAUCAGGAGAGGUCAGCUUUAAAAAAAAUUGGGGUGUUAACCCCAUUCUUAUAAAUGGGAGUAGCAAGAAGGUGUCUGCCGUUCUUUGUUUACAUACAGUAGAAGGUGUCAGAAAGCAAGAAUUAGGCAGGGGAAAUCCUGUCAGACCUCAAAUAAAAUGGUCAGUUUUCCCAGAUGAAAUGUUUGUUAAAAGAUUUCACUUCACACAUCUGGCAAUGUCAGAAUUAUGUGAGGCGCUCAGACCUGAACUGGAACCUACUUCUAAAUGAUCACACGCAAUACCAGCUGGUUACGUAUUAUAAUCAUAUUACACUCUGAGACUGCAACCAUGCACCCACCCAAUGUAUACACAUGUCUUGGUCCAGAACCUUCUUAAAUAAAAGCAAAAGUGUGCUUGCAUUAUGUAUACCCUAUUAUAUAGAGCUGUAGCCAAGAAAUUCACAAACAUUUCUAGAAAUUUCUCUAAAGAAUUUUAGGAAAAAUCUUUUGUAGCAAAAGUUAAGUCAAUAUGGGAAAAAGUAAAGAAAUCUGAAGACCUUAGGCAGAAAAUUAUUUAAUGUCAUAAAACUAGAGAAGGAUCCCUGAAGAUUUCCAAGCAUUUGAGUAUCCCAAUUUCAACUACUGUUUCUAUUAUCAAUAAGUACAAGAAUCAUGGUUCUGUCACAACGCUCCCUGAGUCUGGAAGAAAGAAGGUUCUUUCACCAAGAACAAGUAGAAGAAUUGUGAGGAAG
Polyodon spathula (Mississippi paddlefish) is the source of this 1566-nucleotide long non-coding RNA. RefSeq lists it as uncharacterized. Lineage: Eukaryota; Metazoa; Chordata; Actinopteri; Acipenseriformes; Polyodontidae. The transcript is spliced from 3 exons. The record is from RefSeq and is a predicted model, not a curated record.